RNAcentral lists this ribosomal RNA (457 nucleotides) under uncultured bacterium. RNAcentral describes it as "bacterial SSU rRNA". It matches the Rfam family "Bacterial small subunit ribosomal RNA", at positions 340 to 789 of the family's 1533-position model. The record is from RNAcentral.
UACGGGAGGUAGCAGUGGGGAAUAUUGCACAAUGGGCGAAAGCCUGAUGCAGCUAUGCCGCGUGUAUGAAGAAGGCCUUAGGGUUGUAAAGUACUUUCAUCGGGGAGGAAAAACAAAACUAAUAAUUUUAUUUCUUGACGUUACCCGAAAAAGAAGCACCGGCUAACUCCGUGCCAGCAGCCGCGGUAAUACGGAGGGUGCUAGCGUUAAUCAGAAUUACUGGGCGUAAAGAGCACGUAGGUGGUUUUUUUAAGUCAGAUGUGAAAUCCCUGGGCUUAACCUGGAACUGCAUUUUGAAACUGAAAUACUAGAGUAUCGUAGAGGGAGGUAGAAUUCUAGGUGUAGCGGUGAAAUGCGUAGAUAUCUGGAGGAAUACCUGUGGCGAAAGCGGCCUCCUAAACGAAUACUGACACUGAGGUGCGAAAGCGUGGGGAGCAAACAGGGAUUAGAUACCCGU